This 269-nucleotide long non-coding RNA is filed under the name Gossypium barbadense (sea-island cotton). RNAcentral describes it as "long non-coding RNA (GBAR_LNC006121)". Lineage: Eukaryota; Viridiplantae; Streptophyta; Magnoliopsida; Malvales; Malvaceae. The record is from RNAcentral.
UCAAUCUUCAAGAUACAUUGCUAUAAUGGUUUGAAUAUCAUAAAUGCACUUGCAUACACUUAAAAUAUUAACAAAGAUUAAAACCUAAAGAUUUUAUUACCAAAAUUUGCCAAUGACAACUUUAUGAGUUUGAGCAGUGUUAUACACUAGUAGGCACUCCUUAUAUGCUACCUCAACCAUCUCCACAUUUGGAAAAUUUUUGAACAAAACUAUAAUGAGAGAACAUAUACAACAAAAGAACCAAAUGCUCUCCCUAAGUAACCCUCCCC